GUGCACCAGUCGAGAAACUUCACAAUGUGCGAAAGCACGAUGAGGGAAUCCCAAGUGCUUGCACGUAAGUGUAAGCUGUUUCUCUGUCUAAAACGCAGAGAGAGUAAGGGCUGGGUAAGACGGGUGCCAGCCGCCGCGGUAAUACCUGGCAGCUCGAGUGGUGACCGUUAUUAUUGGGCCUAAAACGUCCGUAGCCGGUUUAAUAAAUGCCUGGGUAAAUCGGACCGCUUAACGGUUCGAAUUCCGGGUAGACUGUUAAACUUGAGACCGGGAGAAGUUAGAGGUACUCCUGGGGUAGAGGUGAAAUUCUGUAAUCCUAGGGGGACCACCAGUGGCGAAGGCGUCUAACUAGAACGGGUCUGACGGUGAGGGACGAAGCCCUGGGGCGCAAACGGGGAUUAGAUACCCCCGUAGU
Molecule: ribosomal RNA, 415 nt
Filed under: uncultured microorganism
Description: bacterial SSU rRNA
Rfam family: Archaeal small subunit ribosomal RNA
Source: RNAcentral